GCAAGCGUGGCCGAGUGGUCCAAGGCGGCAGUUUAAGGUACUGUUCUUUUCGGAGGCGUGGGUUCGAACCCCACCGCUUGCA
Fulvimarina pelagi HTCC2506 is the source of this 82-nucleotide transfer RNA. It matches the Rfam family "tRNA". From Rfam's summary of the family: Transfer RNA (tRNA) molecules are approximately 80 nucleotides in length. Lineage: Bacteria; Pseudomonadati; Pseudomonadota; Alphaproteobacteria; Hyphomicrobiales; Aurantimonadaceae. The record is from Rfam.